Molecule: ribosomal RNA, 284 nt
Filed under: Aphidius eadyi
Lineage: Eukaryota; Metazoa; Arthropoda; Insecta; Hymenoptera; Braconidae
Description: partial 28S ribosomal RNA
Source: RNAcentral
CAUCGCGACCCGUUAGAUGUUGGUUUACGACCAAAUUGGGUAGACUUUAUAUAUUUAUAUAUAAAGACCAAAUUGUGUUUUCUAACCAAGUAUCUGACGGUAAUCGUAUGGUAUUAAGUCGCAAUAUUAAUAUAUUUUUGCGUUCUCUACCCGUCGCAAGCGAGGCCUUUUUUAUUAGUUUACAGACUUUGUGCUGUCUUAUAAAAAUUGUGCCAGCUGUUGGCUGUUUACGGUGUUCUAGAACUGACUUAUUUUUUUUUAAAAAAAAAUACCUGUCGGCGAUG